UUUUUUAUUCUGCUGCGUGAACAGCCUCACACUAUACCCGUGAUGUUCUGCUGACAACAGGUGGCAUCUUGUUUCUGGUUGGAGCCAUUGCUGCUCUCAUCUGUUACUGCAGGAGGAAGAAAAGAGUUUCAAAGCCUCAGAAAAGCACCGAGGGAUCUGAACCUAGAGUAUGUGCCAGAAACCUGCGUCCUGCUCAUGAUAAUCAGGGAUCUAAAGCCAGGGUUCCUGGUGCAGAGCAGGUGGAACAGGACUCUGAAGUCACCUACGCGCUCAUGGAAUUCCCGGCCUUGGAGGCCCAGGCAUCCCAGCCGAAAAACAAAGCCAAGCCUGCUGAAGCUGAGCAUGUGCUGUAUAGCGAGGUGGUGACAACACACACUCGGAAGGCAGCUAAAUAAGGAGGAAGAACCCCCUCUAUGUCUCUCUGCAUCUUCUCCACCUCCUCCAGGCAUCCGUAUCCUUAACCCUUUAUAUCUCAAGAACCCUUUUCUGCCACUUGGCAAAGAGCACGCCUAACACACUGUUGUCAGACUAUUUAGCCAACCAGCAGCUUGUUGGGUAUCAUAUAAAAACUUGUGACCCACUCAGAGGUGAAAGUAA
Molecule: long non-coding RNA, 597 nt
Organism: Mauremys mutica (yellowpond turtle)
Lineage: Eukaryota; Metazoa; Chordata; Testudines; Geoemydidae
Exons: 3
Source: RefSeq, a predicted model, not a curated record